GGCCAGGUGGCAGAGUGGUUAUGCAGCGGAUUGCAAAUCCGUCUACGUCGGUUCGAUCCCGGCCCUGGCCUCCA
RNAcentral lists this transfer RNA (74 nucleotides) under Nevskiaceae bacterium. RNAcentral's name for it is "tRNA-Cys". It matches the Rfam family "tRNA". From Rfam's summary of the family: Transfer RNA (tRNA) molecules are approximately 80 nucleotides in length. Their secondary structure includes four short double-helical elements and three loops (D, anti-codon, and T loops). Further hydrogen bonds mediate the characteristic L-shaped molecular structure. tRNAs have two regions of fundamental functional importance: the anti-codon, which is responsible for specific mRNA codon recognition, and the 3' end, to which the tRNAs corresponding amino acid is attached (by aminoacyl-tRNA synthetases). tRNAs cope with the degeneracy of the genetic code in two manners: having more than one tRNA (with a specific anti-codon) for a particular amino acid; and 'wobble' base-pairing, i.e. permitting non-standard base-pairing at the 3rd anti-codon position. Lineage: Bacteria; Pseudomonadati; Pseudomonadota; Gammaproteobacteria; Nevskiales; Nevskiaceae. The record is from RNAcentral.